CGAGGCACUACGGUGCUGAAGCAACAAAUGCCCUGCUUCCAGGAAAAGCCUCUAAGCAUCAGGUAACAUCAAAUCGUACCCCAAACCGACACAGGUGGUCAGGUAGAGAAUACCAAGGCGCUUGAGAGAACUCGGGUGAAGGAACUAGGCAAAAUGGUGCCGUAACUUCGGGAGAAGGCACGCUGAUAUGUAGGUGAAGUCCCUCGCGGAUGGAGCUGAAAUCAGUCGAAGAUACC
RNAcentral lists this ribosomal RNA (236 nucleotides) under Escherichia coli. RNAcentral's name for it is "partial 23S ribosomal RNA". It matches the Rfam family "Bacterial large subunit ribosomal RNA", at positions 1570 to 1787 of the family's 2925-position model. The record is from RNAcentral. Lineage: Bacteria; Pseudomonadati; Pseudomonadota; Gammaproteobacteria; Enterobacterales; Enterobacteriaceae.